CCCAGAAAGUGCAGAUUGUGGGAGGAAGAUCCAUCAGGGCACCGCAAUAUGAGGACAUAAAACUAUGAAAGAGAACAUUCAAAGGAGGGGUAGACUGAAAAAAAACGUACACAAAAUAUCAGAUUCUGCCAGGAUGGACAGGGUAUUUUGCUUCAUGUGUGAAGAGAAGAGCACUGCCUGGAGGAUUCUCUUUUCCAGAAAAAGCAGAAGCCGGAGAAGCUUGCCUGACUCAGCUGUAAUGAAUGAAUAGAUGACAUCUGACUGUUAAACAGAACCACAUUUCCAAAUGCAUCUCCAAAGGGUGUGAUGGAGUAGCCAGCAUGGAUUCCCUGCAAUUACUAGACCAUGUUCUACAGAGAAUGAGUGGCUUCCUGAAAUACCCAUUCAAGACAUGGAUUCUGGGUACUGUUUUCAGACUAUUCAUAUGUUCACAAGACCUACUCGGAGCCCCUGAGCAGAUUCUGCAUUCUUCAAAUUUAUGCUUCAAGCUCUAUUUGCUCAGGAUUCUUGUAUCUACCUUCACAUUGAACCAAACACUAAUUUUGAGUUGCACACGCUGAAACAUGGAUAUGAAAUAUCUGUAAGCUGGUGGGAAGAGAAUUAAGUAAAGCAGUUAAAAGAUGCAUUGUGUGACCGUGCAUCCCUUCUUUUUUUAUAUCUGGUGCAUCUCACACUUCACAGUUGAGAGGAUGUGGAAAGAAUAAAAUUUUUGAAUUUUUGUCUCGGUGCAAAGCAUGGACAGCUGCAGCAUGAACCACUACAGGCCCUACUGGACAAGGUCUUAGCUCAGAAGAAAACAACUUGUGUGUGCUGGUGAUGUGCAUCUCUGUAUAAGCACGUUUGGAAGAAGUCUGUUUGUGAUUUGAUGGCCAUAUAAUGCCAUUGAUCCAAGAUAGAUCUGCUGUUGACUUUCAUUGAAGCUCUGUACGAGGACUAAAAACAGCGUCCAGCCCAAAGUCUGUAAUGGAGAAAAGCAAGACUCGCAACUGCAGUAUGUAAAUAUUGCACCCAUCCCAGCAGCGCUGUUCGAAGGCGCACACACAGUGCACACACACAUACAGUACAACUCAGUAAAUUCAGGUUGUAGUUUUGUGUUUCUAUCAAUUUCAUGUGACUUGAAGAUACCUAGGAAUGUCUCUUUUAGAAAAGCAAAUCAUUCUAUAUGCUUUUUAGUUCUUUAACCUGAAGAUUAACAAAAAGCUGCUCAAAAUGCUUGGUUUUGGUUGUUAUUUGUGAGACUAUCUGCCAUUCAGGAAAAGCUGUAGGGCUGUGCUUUAGGUAAUUGCUUUAACUUAAGCAUGUAUGCUGUCCCAUUGCAACAUAGUUACAGGUACAUGGAGACUACAGGUUUAGAAAAAAAAAAAGUAGGUAAAUGAGGAAACCAGCUGAAGGUCAGUGGGAGCUUUGUUUUUUUUUACAGACAGUGAAAGCACUAAGGAUUGUGACAAAUUUUUUGUGUUUGAGAGUCAGACAAAACAGAGGCAAAACUUGCAUUCUGAUGGGCUUCCAUGUUGUUUGACAAUUGGGAAAGGACGUUCUUGUUGGUUUUUAAAGUAGUGCCUGUUAAAGCGUAAUUACGCAUGGACAAAAAUGAAAGGGGACACCAGCUGUUAAUAUACUAGAUUGUGAAGCAAAAGUGAAUGUUUUUAGUUUUAUUCACAUUGUGCCUUUAACUUACUCAGUUUGGACAAAGUGGACUAAGAAAACAUUGUCACUGCAGGUCUUGUUACAAGGGUUCUGUUAUUUUCCUUUCCAGAGUGAAGUGUGAUGAUAGGGACAGAUUCACAUCUGUGUAUAAACAACCGUAAAGCCACACUUAUGUGCAAUAAAGAAGUGAAGCAAAAAAUAUUGUCUCAUAACUUCCAGGUUAUUUUUCUGGUUUAACUUUUU
Lagopus muta (rock ptarmigan) is the source of this 1890-nucleotide long non-coding RNA. RefSeq lists it as uncharacterized. The transcript is spliced from 3 exons. Lineage: Eukaryota; Metazoa; Chordata; Aves; Galliformes; Phasianidae. The record is from RefSeq and is a predicted model, not a curated record.